RNAcentral lists this small RNA (675 nucleotides) under Histoplasma capsulatum. RNAcentral's name for it is "hypothetical RNA". Lineage: Eukaryota; Fungi; Ascomycota; Eurotiomycetes; Onygenales; Ajellomycetaceae. RNAcentral also lists the same sequence under 1 other name. The record is from RNAcentral.
UACUUGCUGAUGAAGCUUGUUUGUCUUUGGUCUCUUUUCUCUUGAUGACGUGAUGCAUGACCUGCUUUAUUUAUACCUAUCACUGCAAAUCGCAAACAAUAGAAGACAACAGGGAGAAUAGAGAGAGAGUUGAAAAUGCUGAAAACAUCCCUUGCUGACAAAAGGCUAACAACUUCCUCGGAAUGGCCGGAUAAUACACACACACACACACACAUAUUUAUAUAUAUACAGUAGAAUGCAGAGUAGUACUGCCUUGUGCAUGCCCAGUGCACAAUCUCAUAAACAGCUUAGGUAAAUAUAAUACAAACAUUCCUUGGGGAAUUCUCAGACUAUGCAGAACCUUGCAGAGAUCUGCUAUGCUUGAAACGGACAGCGCGUAUAACCUCCCCUACUGUCGGAGACGGUUGAAUGACGACAACAGCGAUCAGCUCGUUUCUUCCUGCGUCGAGAGACACAGACGCACAGAAGUUGUUACUGGCAGUGUGUCUGCCAUUAAACACUGAAAGGGUAUGGUCGAGGAACCGUAGCAAAACACCCCAACCAGCGAUAUCCCCAUGUUGGCCAAGAUAAGGGAGCCUUAGGUUGUAGAACAACCUCGUCCUACGGAACGUGAAGGACAAAGAUGGAUGGGGCGUGUCAAUCCAUGGGGAAGGUAAAGUUGGGUAGGUAAGGGUG